UGUGGUUUCCAGCGAAAAAGUGCCCUUGGCUAUGGCUAGGGGAGAAUAGGGAAUCGGGUGUAAAUCCCGGACGGUUGCGCCGCUGUAACGAGCGACGAAAGCCCCUGAAACAAGCCACUGCGUUCACCUCGCGGAAAGGCUGGGGUGAGUAGGACGACCUCGAAGUCAGAAGACCUGCUUUUUCUUCCCUCAUCAG
This 196-nucleotide non-coding RNA is filed under the name Chthoniobacter flavus. RNAcentral also lists the same sequence under 1 other name. The record is from RNAcentral. Lineage: Bacteria; Pseudomonadati; Verrucomicrobiota; Spartobacteria; Chthoniobacterales; Chthoniobacteraceae.